This 93-nucleotide transfer RNA is filed under the name Nephromyces sp. ex Molgula occidentalis. RNAcentral's name for it is "tRNA-Met". It matches the Rfam family "tRNA". Rfam says of the family: Transfer RNA (tRNA) molecules are approximately 80 nucleotides in length. The record is from RNAcentral. Lineage: Eukaryota; Apicomplexa; Aconoidasida; Nephromycida.
GCAUUUAUAGCUUAGCGGUCGAAAGCAGUGGGCUCAUAAUCCAUUUUUUGAAAAAUAAACAAAACACCAAUGGUUCGAAUCCAUUUAGAUGCA